GGCCCACCAAGCCGACGAUGUCUAGGGGUUCUGAGAGGAAGGUCCCCCACACUGGAACUGAGACACGGUCCAGACUCCUACGGGAGGCAGCAGUGAGGAAUAUUGGUCAAUGGGCGAGAGCCUGAACCAGCCAAGUCGCGUGAGGGAAGAAUGGUCUAUGGCCUGUAAACCUCUUUUGCCAGGGAAGAAUAAAAGGUACGUGUACCUUCUUGCCAGUACCUGACGAAUAAGCAUCGGCUAACUCCGUGCCAGCAGCCGCGGUAAUACGGGGGAUGCGAGCGUUAUCCGGAUUUAUUGGGUUUAAAGGGCGCGUAGGCGGGACGCCAAGUCAGCGGUAAAAGACUGCAGCUAAACUGUAGCACGCCGUUGAAACUGGCGACCUUGAGACGAGACGAGGGAGGCGGAACAAGUGAAGUAGCGGUGAAAUGCUUAGAUAUCACUUGGAACCCCGAUAGCGAAGGCAGCUUCCCAGGCUCGAUCUGACGCUGAUGCGCGAGAGCGUGGGUAGCGAACAGGAUUAGAUACCCUGGUAGUCCACGCCGUAAACGAUGCUCACUGGAUCUUGGCGAUACACUGCCAGGGUUCAAGCGAAAGUAUUAAGUGAGCCACCUGGGGAGUACGUCGGCAACGAUGAAACUCAAAGGAAUUGACGGGGGCCCGCACAAGCGGAGGAACAUGUGGUUUAGGAACAUGUGGUUUAAUUCGAUGAUACGCGAGGAACCUUACCCGGGUUUAAAUGUAUUUUGCAUGAGGUGGAAACACUUCUUCCCUUCGGGGCUAGAUACAAGGUGCUGCAUGGUUGUCGUCAGCUCGUGCCGUGAGGUGUCGGGUUAAGUCCCAUAACGAGCGCAACCCCUAUCGCCAGUUGCCAGCGGCUGAGGCCGGGCACUCUGUCGAGACUGCCACCGUAAGGUGCGAGGAAGGCGGGGAUGACGUCAAAUCAGCACGGCCCUUACACCCGGGGCGACACACGUGUUACAAUGGCCGGUACAGAGGGCAGCCACGGGGUGACCCGGAGCGAAUCUCUAAAGCCGGUCGUAGUUCGGACUGGAGUCUGCAACCCGACUCCACGAAGUUGGAUUCGCUAGUAAUCGCGCAUCAGCCAUGGCGCGGUGAAUACGUUCCCGGGCCUUGUACACACCGCCCGUCAAGCCAUGGAAGCCGGGAGUACCUGA
Molecule: ribosomal RNA, 1175 nt
Filed under: human gut metagenome
Description: bacterial SSU rRNA
Rfam family: Bacterial small subunit ribosomal RNA
Source: RNAcentral